This 429-nucleotide ribosomal RNA is filed under the name bacterium. RNAcentral describes it as "partial 16S ribosomal RNA". It matches the Rfam family "Bacterial small subunit ribosomal RNA", at positions 355 to 776 of the family's 1533-position model. The record is from RNAcentral.
UAGGGAAUCUUCCACAAUGGACGCAAGUCUGAUGGAGCAACGCCGCGUGAGUGAAGAAGGUUUUCGGAUCGUAAAGCUCUGUUGUUGGUGAAGAAGGAUAGAGGCAGUAACUGGUCUUUAUUUGACGGUAAUCAACCAGAAAGUCACGGCUAACUACGUGCCAGCAGCCGCGGUAAUACGUAGGUGGCAAGCGUUGUCCGGAUUUAUUGGGCGUAAAGCGAGCGCAGGCGGAAUGAUAAGUCUGAUGUGAAAGCCCACGGCUCAACCGUGGAACUGCAUCGGAAACUGUCAUUCUUGAGUGCAGAAGAGGAGAGUGGAAUUCCAUGUGUAGCGGUGGAAUGCGUAGAUAUAUGGAAGAACACCAGUGGCGAAGGCUGCUCUCUGGUCUGCAACUGACGCUGAGGCUCGAAAGCAUGGGUAGCGAACAGG